UACGGGGGGGGCAAGCGUUGUUCGGAAUUACUGGGCGUAAAGGGCUCGUAGGCGGCCAACUAAGUCGGACGUGAAAUCCCCAGGCUCAACCUGGGAACUGCGUCCGAUACUGGAUGGCUUGAAUUCGGGAGAGGGAUGCAGAAUUCCAGGUGUAGCGGUGAAAUGCGUAGAUAUCUGGAGGAAUACCGGUGGCGAAGGCGGCAUCCUGGACCGACAUUGACGCUGAGGAGCGAAAGCGUGGGGAGCGAACAGG
This 253-nucleotide ribosomal RNA is filed under the name uncultured bacterium. RNAcentral's name for it is "partial 16S ribosomal RNA". It matches the Rfam family "Bacterial small subunit ribosomal RNA", at positions 524 to 776 of the family's 1533-position model. The record is from RNAcentral.